CGGGACGGGUGAGUAAUGUCUGGGAAACUGCCUGAUGGAGGGGGAUAACUACUGGAAACGGUAGCUAAUACCGCAUAACGUCGCAAGACCAAAGAGGGGGACCUUAGGGCCUCUUGCCAUCGGAUGUGCCCAGAUGGGAUUGGCUAGUAGGUGGGGUAACGGCUCACCUAGGCGACGAUCCCUAGCUGGUCUGAGAGGAUGACCAGCCACACUGGAACUGAGACACGGUCCAG
Molecule: ribosomal RNA, 233 nt
Filed under: uncultured bacterium
Lineage: Bacteria
Description: partial 16S ribosomal RNA
Rfam family: Bacterial small subunit ribosomal RNA
Source: RNAcentral